CCCUUAGAUGUUCUGGGCCGCACCCGCGCUACACUGAAGGAGGCAGCGUGUACUCCUGGAUCGAAAGAUUUGGGUAACCCGCGAAUCUCCUUCGUGCUAGGGAUUGAGGUUUGCAAUUAUCCUUCAUGAACGAGGAAUUCCCAGUAAGUGCAAGUCAUAAGCUUGCGCUGACUACGUCCCUGCCCUUUGUACACACCGCCCGUCGCUACUACCGAUUGAAUGAUUUAGUGAGGAUUUCGGACUGGGACUGAUGCGGCUUUCGGGCUGCGUCGGUAUUCUGGAAAGAUGUCCAAACUGUAUCAUUUAGAGGAAGUAAAAGUCGUAACA
This 327-nucleotide ribosomal RNA is filed under the name uncultured eukaryote. RNAcentral describes it as "partial 18S ribosomal RNA". It matches the Rfam family "Eukaryotic small subunit ribosomal RNA", at positions 1470 to 1796 of the family's 1831-position model. The record is from RNAcentral.